AUUGAACGCUGGCGGCAUGCCUUACACAUGCAAGUCGAACGGCAGCGCGGGGGCAACCCUGGCGGCGAGUGGCGAACGGGUGAGUAAUAUAUCGGAACGUACCCUUGGGUGGGGGAUAACGUAGCGAAAGUUACGCUAAUACCGCAUACGAUCUACGGAUGAAAGUGGGGGCUCCGCAAGGACCUCAUGCUCAUGGAGCGGCCGAUAUCUGAUUAGCUAGUUGGUAGGGUAAAAGCCUACCAAGGCAUCGAUCAGUAGCUGGUCUGAGAGGACGACCAGCCACACUGGGAACUGAGACACGGGUCCAGACUCCUACGGGAGGCAGCAGUGGGGAAUUUUUGGACAAUGGGCGAAAGCCUGAUCCAGCAAUGCCGCGUGAGUGAAGAAGGCCUUCGGGUUGUAAAG
RNAcentral lists this ribosomal RNA (405 nucleotides) under uncultured bacterium. RNAcentral describes it as "bacterial SSU rRNA". It matches the Rfam family "Bacterial small subunit ribosomal RNA", at positions 30 to 430 of the family's 1533-position model. The record is from RNAcentral.